Non-coding RNA from Vicugna pacos (alpaca), 3140 nucleotides. NCBI's taxonomy places the organism in Eukaryota, Metazoa, Chordata, Mammalia, Artiodactyla, Camelidae. The record is from RefSeq and is a predicted model, not a curated record.
ACAACAUUGUAAAAUGACUAUAACUCAAUAAAAAAAUGUUUUAAAAAAAAGUGACCUCUUACUGAUCUGUAACCCUAAUCUGUGGUUACAAAUGACAUGAUCCCAAACAGCCAUUUCACCUCUCAGGGCCUCAGUUUUCUUUUUAAACUUGGGUUUGGGGUGGGGAACUAAGGGGGAGGAAGAUAAGAUUCCCUCUUUGGAUUACUAUACGAAUCAAAUUAAAUAAUAAUGCGAAGUCCUUAGUCUUGGACCUGGUGAGCAGUAAAUAUUCAGUAAGUACUAUCCAGAAAAGGCAAGGCCAAAGCAGUAGUUCAUUCAGAAACAUGGAGGAGGAAGUAGACACAAGUUAAAUAAGGCCAAGGGGAAGUAAAAAUUUGUGCAUGAAAAUUCCAGUAGGUGUUUUCUUUAUUUGUUUUAGCCCCAAAUAUCAUUGCUUUUUUUCUUCACUCCUAAAGCUUACAAAUCCAGUAGCACAAUAUUUGGGGGUAUUGUAUUAGGAUUGGAGAGGUUGUUCCUGAAAAGAAAAGUAAUAGGAGAUAAUCCAAUUUCUAAGUAAACUUAAAUUGGAGGAAAAUCCUGACUAUGAAGGUAGAUGCUGCUAUCAGAACAAUAUUAAUUACAGAAAACCCUAUUUUUGCCAAGUUUUAACUCCAGGAAGGAGGUUAUGAGAAAUCAUCACUUUAACGCUUCAUAGCUAGAUUUUAAAAUUUAAUGGAGAUGAUGGAAUUGGCAAUAGAAAGUGUCCACAGAGGCCACGCAGAAAAGCCCAGGCGUGUGUCACCUGAGCAGGGAAGUACAAGGCCUCCCUGUCUGCCUCAGUCACGAUGCUCAUGGGUUGAAAAACAUGGCAAGACAGCGAGCAGAGUAAUGGGUCGGGAACUGGGGUGAUCACCAUCUGCCAGCGUCACUAAGCAAAGCCAAAAAGGGGAGGCUGAAUUUGCCUGAUUUUGUGAUUCUUCACAGCCCUGAUUAUUUAUUGUCCACCAGAAGCCAUUCCCUCCUUCCCUAGUAACAAAAUACCUACUUUUAUUUCUGCAGGUGGACAUGUGACCCACUUGUGACCAAUUCACACCAGCAGAAGUCUGUGCAGGAGUUUCUGGAAAAGAUUUUUUUUCCCCUUUAAUAAUGGCAAGGGAAACAGAGAAAAAUGUCUCCCUUUUGUGCUGCCCUUGGUCCCAGGCACUGAAUACAACUGUGUGAUGCUUGGAACUGCAGCUCCUGUCAUGGGACCAGGAGAGGAAAGGUGAAAGAACUGGAUGCCAAUCUGAAACUAUGACAUCACUGAGCUGCUGACUCCGCUGCAGCCACCACCCUCCUCUGGACUUCUGGUUAUAUGCAAAAUGUAAACUCUUUGCCAGGCUUUCUAUUUCUUGCAAUUGAAAGUAUUUGUAGUGGAUAAAAUACAUAUGAAUAAAUUCAGGUUGUCAAUAGUUUAGGAUCAGGAACCUUGGAGCACUCUGUGAGGUAACUGUAUUACAACAUCUUUGGGGAAAGUAUUGGGAAUGACUACAAAUUACUCAACCAGAGACUAAAAAGAACGUUAAGGAGAAAGAUUCAUCUAUUAAAUGUACUCAUUGAUUUGUUCCAGUAUUUACUGAGUUGUAUUUGAUAGGUACGGUGCUACUGAGAUAAUGUGAUGAAAGGGAUGAACAAGCCCCUGCCGUUGUGUAGUAUGUGCACUUCAUAAAAGACUUAUGAGAAGAUGCAUACUGAGUGGCAAGUGCUAAGAAAAAACAUUAAGACAAUAAUGUGAUGAGUGAGGGAGUUCAGUGGAGGGACUCUCUUUCUGAUAAAAAUCGAAGGAUAAGGGGUCCAGAAGGGGAAAACUCUUGGGAAACAACCUUGCAAGGAGAGCAGGUGCAAAGCUGUGAAGCAGGAGAAUUCUGGGAGAGAAUUCAGUGUGGCUGGAGCAGUGUGAGUCAAGGACAGACGUGAGGUGAGCACAGAGAGGCAGUGCGCCAGUCACACCUUGUGAGACCUAGCACACCAAGGUAAGGAAAUGGACUUCAUCUCACUUUAAAUAUCGUUGGAAGCUAAUGAGGGGCUUUAAGCAGAGGAAUGAGAUGUUCUCAUUUAUGUUUUUAGGGCUUCUUUCUGUCUGGAGUAUGGACUAUGAGGAGAGAGCUGAAUUAGGGAUACCACGUGGCAAUAAUCCAGGAGUCCUGUACUUGAUAUGAACCAGAUUCAGCAUUGGACAGAAACUUCCUGAUGAGAUACGUGGAAAUUCUAAAAUACGAAAUAUAAUAAAUUAUAAACACCUCUCUAUCUGCAAAAGAUGGUCAUGGCGAGAAAAUGGUCAGAAAAUCUCUAGGGAGGAGAGUGUGAAUGGUGUUUUGAUGCUUGACUUUCUUUGCUUGCCUUAUCACAAACUUUCCGGAAAGCACGAAUGGAGUCUGAUAAUCUUGUUUGGAGCCUGCUAAGAAGUCCAGUCAUCUAAUAAUAGCUAUCCCAGGAUGAAUUGACAAAGUAGCCAAAACACUCACCUGAAAACUAUUCCCUUUGACUGAACAUAUAUUGAAUUUCUCAGUAUGGUAAGCUGGAAGACACAGUUAAGCUGGAAGACACAGUGUAACAACUCUGCACCAUUUAUUUUUGAGAGCCUACUGUGUGUGAGGCCACGUUCGAGGGGUUAUGAUAGAGGAGGAACAACAGAAACAAGUCUCUUCUCUCACAAGCCACACAGAUGCUGAUUAAGUGUUAAGAAAGAGAAGAAAAAUGAAGCAGGAAAUGAGUAUAGACUGUGAUCACAGUAAGUGGUCUGUUUUACGUAAGAUAGCAAGGAUGGACCUUUUUGAUUUGCGGCCCCUAUUUGAACACAGAUCUGAAUUAAAUGAGGGAGCAAAAACUGAUACACACUCAAAUAAAGCUCAGGGAGUGUGGCUAUCUGGGUGAAGAAAAGUUUUCAGCAGAAAGAACAGCCAGUACAAAAAAUGAGGAAUGACACGGGGGUCAGUGGGGCUGGAGAAGAGAGUGAGUGGCAGAAAUUAGGGUCAGAGAAAUCAUAUAAGACAGUGAAUUGUAUUUUAAAAAUUUCUUUUGGAGUAUGGUUGAUUUACAACGUUGUGUUAAUUUCUGGCACACAGCAUAGUGGAGUUGUAGUAGAGAAUAACCUUUGUUUUGUUGGAGGUCUGCAGGGACAC